RNAcentral lists this long non-coding RNA (200 nucleotides) under Cottoperca gobio. RNAcentral's name for it is "lncRNA (ENSCGOG00000007510.1)". The record is from RNAcentral. Lineage: Eukaryota; Metazoa; Chordata; Actinopteri; Perciformes; Bovichtidae.
GCUGCAGGAGGGAGCGGACACUCUCGCUGGAGAUGGACUCCAGAUGCUGCAGCAGCCAGCGUGACGUCCCGACAAAAUGCUGUCAGUGACAGCAGGAGCCGACGCACGGUAACCUGCAGCCCAGGCCUCUGUUUGAUAUGUGCCGGAUGAGUAACAGGAGUGUCUGGUGAGGAAAGAUGUGUUUGACAAGCUCACAAAUU